Cavia porcellus (domestic guinea pig) is the source of this 3458-nucleotide long non-coding RNA. RefSeq lists it as uncharacterized. NCBI's taxonomy places the organism in Eukaryota, Metazoa, Chordata, Mammalia, Rodentia, Caviidae. The record is from RefSeq and is a predicted model, not a curated record. The transcript has 2 exons.
GGCGCAGCGAGAAGAAAAAAAGAAUCGAGGGCCUGGAAACCCACCUAGUUCGUGUAUCCAGUGUGAGGCGGAGCAUUACUAUUUCAGCACCAAGGACAGCUCCCUCCGAGGCGACCCACUCCCCGGCCUUUCUCUGGCUCCCACCCGGGCGGUGCUGGCGGCGGGUGGGCUAACCCCCGCCUUCCUCUCUUUGCAGUAAUCGCUGUAUUUACUUUGUCUGGUCGGGAGGAGGUGGAAUAUUUCGCCUACUCCUCCCCUCCCUUGAAGCUGAAGACCUCUGAGAUUUCAAGGCAGCUUUGACUGGAGGAAAAGAACACUGAAGUCAGUAAGACUUGGGGUUACUUCUUGCUUCUACUUAACUGUCACAAGUCUCCUCAGUGAAAUGGGAACUGAUAGAAGCUCGAUAGAUCAUCUUAUUGGUGGUCAUAAAGCGCUUCCAGCAAGUUCCGCCAUGCCUGGGUAACGGUGUUCCAUUAAUGUUCACUGCUGCCCCCACCCCGUCAAUAGUGAUGUUGAUCUAUUUUAACUUUUUACCUUUACAUGCCCAAGCUAAGCAUAACAUUUUGCAACCCAUUGGUUUCAGCAGAGCUGCUGAUAAUCCCCUAGAUGAGACUGGUCAUCCUUCUCUUUACUUGCGAGGUUUUUUCUUUGCUUUUGUUUUAAAUAAUGAAAGAAGCUGGGUAUGGUGGCACAUACUUCUGUAAUUCGAGCACUCCAGAGGUCCAGGCCCAUGCAAUCUGUGGAUCAUUGGAAGUUAGAGACCAGCCUGGGCUAAAAAGUAAGCCUAAGCUGAACUGCAUAGUGAGACCCUGUCUCAAAAACACAAUAAAUAAAUAAAUAUAAAAUAACAAAAAAUUCUAUUUUUACUUAUUCUUUGGGUACCAGGAAUCAAACUCACAACCUUGCACUUAACAGGCAGGAACUUACACUGAUGAGCUAUGUUUCUAGCCCCCCAGAGACCAUUUAACCCACAGAGAAGUUUUGAUUCACGGAGAAGUUUCUGUAAGAAGGGAUGAAAGGGAGCCAGCCUUAUGAUGAGCUGACAGUUGCUCAUAAUGUUAGAUUUCUACGGGAUUCAUUGUUUGGGUCUUUGCUGUUUUCCUGUGUUCCUUCUUUCCUUCCCUCUGUAAUCUCAUCCAGUCUCACUCCUUUAGAUAGCAUUUAUAGGAUCCAUUGACUCUCAAGUACUUACAUGUUUACCAACCAUUCCAGGGUCACAUACCCAGCUAAAUUCUCCGUUAUUUCUAAUGGACAUCUUACAUUACAUUACAUUACAUUACAUUACAUUACAUUACAUUACAUUACAUUGAAGUGUCCCAGAUUUCCUCCUUCCCCCAAUAGUAUGUAAUAGUAUGUAUUCCUAUUACAUACUUCUCCAUCUGAGUAAAUAACAACUAGAAGGGACCCCAUCCCUCCGGUUCCUAUUGCUGGUUCCUCUCUUUCAGUCUAUUGGUAGAUUCUGUUGGGUCUAUUUUAGAGUUUUGCAGACUUCUGGUUCUGCUCUUUCUACAGUAUCCCCCAUUCUCCUCCACGUUCACAGAAUAGUUCGCAGGUCAGACUUACACUGUUUUCUUCACCUCUAAGCCCUGUGGUGAUUCCUUCUCUAAGAGUCAAAGCCAAAGUCCUGGCAGCCCCUACAUGGCCCUGUGGGGUCUGCUCUCCUAUCCUUUUGCUCUGCCCCAACUAAGUGCUGUAGUUGAACAUCUCAGGUGCAUUCCCACUGCAGAAAGCUUGCCGUUACUAAUCUGCUUGAAAAGUUUUCCCCCAGACAUGCACAGGGCUUGUUCCUCCUCAUCCUGGUCUUGGCUCAAAUGUUCAAAUUGCCUUUUUUCAGCAAGGCCUUCCUUCACACUUCUGUAUAAACUUGCUGUCCUCUACUGUUGCAAUUCUUUUCAAUUCUGUUUUUUCCCAUGAGGCCUCUUUUUCUAAUCACUUGACAUAUAUUUUUGCUUUAUUGCUUUUUUUCUUCCCACUAAACUAUAAGAUGUAUGAGGACAGAGUGCAUUUUAUUUUUAUUUUUUUGUUAUGUACCAUUGCAGUCCCAGGACAGAAUUGCCCCUGAACACUGAAGCCACUUGAUGCAUACUUUGAACACCCGAAUAGGGAAUGCAUCCCUAACACCUUCAGGUGGGCAUCUACAUCCCUGAGCAGAGGCGGAAGCACCUGGCAACUGAAGAAUGAGUAUGGACAGGAUUUUUGUGUCAGUUUAUUUCCCAGUUUGAAUUCAGAUGAGGGCGCAAAGAAAUAUGUCCCAACAAAUCAGAGCUCCCAUGAGACCUCAAAUAGUCCAUACAUGAACAGCCAGUUAGGUUGGUGUUUAAACCAUUAUUUUAACAGGUUGUGUGAAAACUCAACUUGGCAAAUUUUAGAGACAGCUUUCUCAAAGGCUUGUUUUUGUUUUAAUGUGCUAGGGAUUGCACCCACAGUCUCACACAUACAAGGCAAGCUUUCUACCACUGACUUACAUCCCCAUUUGAAAAAGAAAUUUAUUUUGAGAUAGUCUUACUAAAUUUCCCAGGCUGGGCAGAAUCUUGCAGUCCUCCUGCCUCAGCUUCCCAAGUAACCGGGGUUACAGUCAUGCACCAUCAUCCCCCCUCAAAGUGUUUUAAUUUCAUUUAAUGGCAUAUGUUUUUUAGAUUUUCAUCUUUUCUUUCAUUGGUGGCCUGUGAGCUAAGAAAAGGUGGCUUUAGGAUGGCAGUGUUGUUGACUGAUUGAAAUACUGUCCCCAUCUUUGGUGGUGGUCCGAUGCCAGUAAGAAAUUGGAUUUGGUGUGUGUUAUGAUGGGAGAGGGUUUCCUCUUAACAUACUGUUUGUAGCACUUUUACAAACGGUCAUUUUCAAAUAAUGUUUUGUGAAAAGACAUUUAGAAUAAUUUUUAUUAGAAAUAAAGAUAUAUUUAGGGACUUGAGGGUAUGAAACACAAAAAGCCUUGUCAUAGUAGUUGAAGUACUAAAAAAGGACAAAAGGUUGGGCAUGAUCACACAUGCUUGUAAUCCCAAGCACUUGGGAGGCUGAGACAGGAGGAUUGCUGCCAGUUUGAGGCCAGCCUGGGCUACAUAGUGAGUUGAAGGGCAAUCUGAACUACAUAGUGAGACCCUGUCUCAAAAAAAUAAAAAAUGUAUUUGUUCAAUUAUCCAAUAACCAAAAGUAACAUAAAUAAAUUCUAAGAAAGCAGGAACUUUUUUGAGGGGGGUGACAUUUGUAAUGGAUUACAGUUAUUGUAUUCUUAAAAUUAUCAUUGUUUACAAGCGUAAGUUAUUUGUUAACGUAUUAAAUAGUUAAUAGUCUACAACGAUCAGCAAGUUUGUCUCAAAUGGUAUUUCUUUUUGAUCUUAACCUACUUGUUUACUAAUUAUUAUUUAUCCUCAUUGAAAGCUUCUAACCACCCAAAAGGGUACAAAGGCCUUCUAAGAUGUUGUACAUAUUAUAAGCCCUCAUAAAUAGUUUUCUGUGCUUGC